This is a long non-coding RNA of Microtus ochrogaster (prairie vole), 627 nucleotides long. RefSeq lists it as uncharacterized. The record is from RefSeq and is a predicted model, not a curated record. The transcript has 3 exons. Lineage: Eukaryota; Metazoa; Chordata; Mammalia; Rodentia; Cricetidae.
GGGUGGGUGCCAGCAGCAGGAGUUACAGAAGAGACCAUAAUGAAAGAGCCAUAAGCCAAGGGAGGCAGCGGCCUGGGGAGCUGGAAGAGCCUCCCAAAGGCUUUUAGCCACAAGAAAAAUCACUGUGGAUUUCUACUUCUCACGGGCAACAAAUGGCUUUGUGACUGGUACCAGCCCCUGAUCCUGCAGUUGUUGGAAAUUAGCCCAGCAGGAGAGCGGCUGCAUCCAUUUCCUUUGGACCCUAAGUGUCUCUCUCCCUAGAUUCUGGAGUUCACCCAUCAGGCAAGACUGAGAGCCCCAGGGAUCAACCUGUCUCCACCUCCACAUCAUUGGGAUUAUGCAUAUGUUCCACAUGCCCCACUUUUUACUCUGUGCUGGGACUGAAUUUAGUUCCCAAUGGUUGAAACAGAUGAAAAGGACGCCUCCCUCUGACAUCUUCCUCCCACUGCCUUCUACCCACCAUCCUCUGCCAGUCUGACCUUGGUGCAAACAGGAGGCAAACCCACAAUGAGGAACACAGAAAGUAUUCUCGAAGCCGUCAUCAGAACUGUGAAGAGAGCAAAGAUAAGAAGAAUCCAAGGCGCCAUCAGCCCUGAGAGACACGGCAGGCAAACAUGAGUCAGACGC